UGGUCCCAGGGGCCUCUGCAGUUGGCACCUGCCCAGCUGUGGUGCCUGGGACUGGAGAGGAGCCACAGGCGAGAGGAACGGCAGCCUGCAGCACCACCUGUACAGUGACUGGGCCGGACUCUAGGCCUGCAGCUGAGACACACUCACGGAGAAGGGCACCUGGUCUGGGAUUGGAGUCAGAGAAAGUGAGAACCGGGCUUCCCAGGUGGCUCAGUGGUAAAGAAUACACCUGCCGAUGCAAGAGACACAGGAUUCAAUCCCCGCGUUGAAAGAUACCCUGGAGGAAGAAACGGCACCCUGCUCCAGUAUUCUUGUCUGGGCAAUCCCAUGGGCAGAGGAGCUUUCGCAGGCUACAGUCCAUGGGAUUGCAGAGUCAGAUACAGCUGAGCCACUGAGCACACGCAUGUAUGUUCUUACACUGGACACAGAUUGGUAGGCCAUGUAGCAACAUGUCUAGGAUGAUGUGCUCUAGCUAGUGGGAUAAAAGUAAAACUAACAGCAUCAACUAAUACUGAGUUGGGAAGAUCCCCUGGAGGAGGGCAUGGCAACCCACUCCAGUACUCUUGCUUGGAGAAUCCACAUGGACAGAGGAGGCUGUGGGCUGCAGUCCAUGGCGUUGCAGAGCGUCUAAACUAAGCGACUGAGCACUGCACAGGGCAGGCAUUCUGCUAAAUUCUUUACAUAUUAUCACACUGGCAUCCUUGCAGCAACCUUUUAAAGUGCUAUCACCCCCAUUCUAUAGAUAAGGGAAUGGAAGCACAAAUCAAUUCAGUGACUUGCCCAGGGUCACAUACUGGUAACCAGCUUAAAUCCAAGUCUAUCCAACUUCUGUGUCCACUGCGUCUUCUGUGCCCCAUUUGGGGAACUAUAAUUUUUUUUCUUUUUGCUUUAUCUAUGUUUUCUAAGUUUUCUGCAGUGAAUAUGUGUUACAUAUAUAAUUUGUAAAAAAAAAAAAAAAAAAACACACACACACACAAAAAGGAAGAAGAGGACGGGGAGGAGGAUUCCUUGAGCUCUUUCGGGAUACCAGGGAUUCUGGACCUUGGGAAGGAGGCCUGGAGCACAGAGGCACUCACCAUUGACGACGGUGUUGUUGGCCCAGAUGACCCGCCCAUCCGGCAGCACCUUUUGGCUUUUAGGAAAGUGCAGGGCAACAGAGAAGGAUGCAUUUGCCCCAAUCAAUGUAGGCCCAUCAUUGCUGACCUUCAGGGA
Dama dama (fallow deer) is the source of this 1212-nucleotide long non-coding RNA. RefSeq lists it as uncharacterized. The transcript has 3 exons. Lineage: Eukaryota; Metazoa; Chordata; Mammalia; Artiodactyla; Cervidae. The record is from RefSeq and is a predicted model, not a curated record.